CGUAACACGUGAGCGACCUGCCCUGGUGUGGGGGAUAGCCGGCCCAACGGCCGGGUAAUACCGCAUACGGCCCCUGCUUAGAAGCGGGUGGCGAAACUUUCGAGGCGCUAGGAGGGGCUCGCGGCCUAUCAGCUAGUUGGUGUGGUAAUGGCACACCAAGGCGAUGACGGGUAGCUGGUCUGAGAGGAUGGCCAGCCACAUUGGGACUGAGAUACGGCCCAG
This 222-nucleotide ribosomal RNA is filed under the name uncultured bacterium. RNAcentral describes it as "partial 16S ribosomal RNA". It matches the Rfam family "Bacterial small subunit ribosomal RNA", at positions 109 to 334 of the family's 1533-position model. The record is from RNAcentral.